CUAUUUAGGAGGGUGAGGCAGGAGAAUCGCUUGAACCCAGGAGGCAGAGGUUCUAGUGAGCCGAGAUCGCACCACUGUACUCCAGCCUGGGCACACAGCAAGACACGUUCUCAAAAAAAAAAAAAAAAAAAAAUGAUCAUUCCCAGAGUUCCAGAGGCUGAAGUCUGGGGAUCCAGGUUUCAGCAGGAGCUGGUUCCCCCAGAGGCUCUGAGGAACGUCUGUCACAGGUGUCUCCAGCUUCUGGUGCUGCUAGCAGUCCUGAUGUCCUUGGCAGCAGCAUCGCCAUUAUCUCUGCCUUCUUCUCCAUGGUGUUCUUCCUGCAUUUGUCUUUGUCCAGAUCUCUCCCUUACAUAAGGACACUGGGGUCAUAGUGGGAUGUUGCCUCAUCUUAACCAGUGACAUCUGCCAGCACCCUGUUUCCAAACACAGUCACAUUCUAAGGUUUCCAGGACUAGGACUUCAAAAUGAAUUUAAGAGAUACAUGAUUUAACCCAUAAUGCUGGUAAAACCCUGCAGGUGGCCACUAAAGGUCUGAAUGAGGACAGAACCAAGACCGGCCAGCAGCUCUUUGCUGGGGCAGAGGAGCUAGGUCACCAACAGCCUUGCUUCAUUGGGCUGAUCUGCAUCCAACAAAAUCAAAUCAGCAAACAUAUUAGAUACCUCUAGGUGCAAAGCCUUGACCAAAUGCUACUGGAAGGCUGGGCACACGGUGGCUCAUUCCUGUAAUCCCAGCCCUUUGGGAGGCUGAGGUGGGUCAAUCACGAGGUCAGGAGUUUGAGACCAGCCUGGGCAACAUGGCAAAACCCCAUUGCUACUAAAAAUACAAAAAUUAGCUGGAUGUGGUGGCACGGGCCUGUAAUCCCAGCUACUCAGGAGGCUGAGGCAGGAGAAUCACUUGAACCCGGGAGGCGGAGGUUGAGUGAACUGAGAUCACGCCACUGUACUCCAGCCUGGUGACAGAGCGAAACUUCAUCUCAAAAAAAAAGAGAAAAAGGAAGAAUGCUGCUGGAGAAGUGGCGCUAACAGCGGGUCCCUAGCUGGCGAAGGUUUCCUUGACCUGCAUUGGUGCCCAGGUGGAUCCCUUGCCCCUCCCCUGGCCUCUGGGCCCCUCACUACAGGCACCAGGUGCCACGCCCUCUCCUAGUCACGUGCUGGAGUGACCCUGGAGCCUCUAGCCGGGCCCAGGCCUGCAGACACCCUGCAUGUUGCUGCAUUUCUAGGGGCUCAGAGAAAGAUGCAGACAGUUGUAAUUCCGGGUCACUUGGGAGAAGUGAGUUCAUUUUUUUUCCUGGUUUGUUUACAUGAAGCCUAGAGACAAAACGUUCCACAGUGGAGACCGGAGACGGAAUCACCUCUGAUGUGAAGAUUGCCUUUUCUCAUGUUGUGGAAAGUUCUGUCUGCCCUCCCCGCUCAGAGGAUCAGAUGAAAGCACGUUGGAUGAAGCUGCCACCGACAGUGUGACCAGAAGGAACGCCCUUUCCGGGAGUGACCAGCCUCAGGCUAGAGACAUUAGGGGCAAGCCCAUCCGGUGAGCCUGUUUGAGGACUCCAAGCAAGCCCCUCUGUCCCUCCUGUCAAAGGAGAGCUGGGAGCACGCAGAGCUUUUGGCUUGGGGGUUUCUAAUUGGAUCACUGAAGGGACUGAUGCCUGAAGCCUCGCCAGUCACAACAGAUCCCUUGAAAGGGAACAUCAAGAGACUGUCUCCUGGUAAAGACUGUCUUAUCUUGAGGAAGUGGCUGCAAAAACAGCUAAACGAUGAGAACAAGGAUGUGGAAGUAAGCUGUCCUGCCCCUUGCACCACCAUGGUCCAGGAAGAGGGCGCUACCCUCCCAAGUCCCAGGGAGUGCUAGAUGCUCAGUGCUUCCUACAGAAAGAGAAUGGGUUCCUCAUGGCCUAAAUAUCUCGGCCCCAAUCCCAGAGGCUGCCUGUCCCACACAGCUCAAGAUGCUGCUGUCUAAAAAGCUCUUCUCCUCUCUGGGAACAACACAGGACAGGAGCUGAAGGUCCAAUCGCCCCUGGCUGCCCUCCUGCCCCUCAGUCCCAAGGUCCCUCCUCCCAUGGAACUUUCUCUCCUGUCCACACUACACCCUGCUCUGAGCGGCACGAGCCCACAAUCACCCACAUCCAGGUUCAGCUACGUCCCUAGAGCACAAGUGUGUGGCCCCAGCUGCCCUGCCUGGUGACUGAGAAAAGAACCAAACCCACAGGCCCCAUCAUCACACUGCAAACAUGGACACUGCUGUGUUCUGGUAAUGGGGAGAGCAACGAAGAGGCCACACUGUCCAGGAGCCCUUCCCCAGGAGAAGGACGGCAGGAUCGGGAUGGCAGUUUUCAAAGUGGAUCCUGAGGGGUUGUAGUGUCCUUGGCGCUAAGGGGCACAGGAAGUAUGGGUGCCAACUGGGUGGGAACACGGCCAGAGAGCCAAUACUUCAGACCUCUUGGUGAGGAAAACAUUCCAGAAAUUAGAGGGAUGAUGCAUGACACUCUGAACGUAAUUAAUGCUUUAAAAUAGUUGAAAUGUGGCCGGGUGUGGUGGCUCACACCUGUAAUCCCAGCAAUUUGGGAGACCAACACGGGCGGAUCACAAGGUCAAGAGAUCGAGACCAUCCUGGCCAACAUCCUGGUGAAACCCUGUCUCUACUAAAAAAAAAAUACAAAGAUUAGCUGGGCGUGGUGGUGUGCGCCUGUAGUCCCAGCUACUCAGGAGGCCGAGGCAGGAGAAUUGCUUGAACCCAGGAGGCGCAGGUUGUAGUGAGCCAAGAUUGUGCCACUGCAUUCCAGCCUGGCGCCUGGUGACAAAGCGAGACUCUGUCUCCAAAAAAAAAAAAAAAAAAAAAAAAAAAAAAACAUGGCCAGGCAUAUGGUGGCUCACACCUGUAAUCCCACCAUUUUGGGAGGCAGCUCACUUUGAGCUCAGGAGUUCAAGACCAGUCUGAACAACAUGGCAAAACUCCAUGUCUACCAAAAAAUACAAAAAAUUAGCCAGCAGAGGUAGCAUGCACCUGUAGUCCCAGUUACCUGGGAGGCUGAGAUCAGAGGAUCACUUGAGCCUGGGAAGCAGAGGUUGCAAUGAGGUGAGAUCACACCACUGCGCUCCAGCCUGGGUGGCAGAAUGAAAAUUUGUAUUUCAAAAAAAAAAAAAAAAGAACAAAUGUUGUUACAUAUUUCAUCAUAAUUGAAAAAAAAAGCUAACUGUAAAAAGCAGCUCCCCUGGGGUCUUUUGUGAAAAACAGCAUGGGGCGGCUGUGGCGGGAGAGUGAUCAGAGGGCCCAAGCUGAAUGCAGAGGCCACAGCAUCCGUGCCUCCUACACCACGACUCAGGCAAAGCUACAGAACACAGCAACUGGGCUAAAGCUGCCAGGGGCAAGACUCCCCUAACAAGGAGAGCAAUGCCACCCUCUGCAGACCAACCCCGGAACUAACCUGGGCAGAGCUGCCCGGGGCCACUCACCUUCUUAAAGAGGACAACCCCAUCUUUGUCCAACUGGUAUUUGGAGAACACGUCACUGUUCGAAGUGAUCCCAAACGGUACAUCAUCGAUGGCCUCUGCUGCCUGCAAGAACUGCUUGGCAGCGUCCGACUCCACGUCCU
Molecule: non-coding RNA, 3590 nt
Organism: Callithrix jacchus (white-tufted-ear marmoset)
Lineage: Eukaryota; Metazoa; Chordata; Mammalia; Primates; Cebidae
Source: RefSeq, a predicted model, not a curated record